AAUCCUGACUCAGGAUGAACGCUAGCUACAGGCUUAACACAUGCAAGUCGAGGGGCAGCAUUUUUCUAGCAAUAGAAGAGAUGGCGACCGGCGCACGGGUGAGUAACACGUAUCCAACCUACCGAUAACUCUGGAAUAGCCUUUCGAAAGAAAGAUUAAUACCGGAUAGUAUACGAAUAUCGCAUGAUAUUUUUAUUAAAGAAUUUCGGUUAUCGAUGGGGAUGCGUUCCAUUAGUUUGUUGGCGGGGUAACGG
This 254-nucleotide ribosomal RNA is filed under the name uncultured bacterium. RNAcentral's name for it is "partial 16S ribosomal RNA". It matches the Rfam family "Bacterial small subunit ribosomal RNA", at positions 15 to 263 of the family's 1533-position model. The record is from RNAcentral.